Molecule: long non-coding RNA, 1125 nt
Organism: Oncorhynchus nerka (sockeye salmon)
Lineage: Eukaryota; Metazoa; Chordata; Actinopteri; Salmoniformes; Salmonidae
Exons: 3
Source: RefSeq, a predicted model, not a curated record
CCCAGGAUUAAGCACCGCACUGCACGGAGCCAUGCACUGAGUGUGGAGCAAAUGGUUUGUGUGGCCUUGUGCUUUUUUGCUAGUGGAGCCUUCCUGUACUCAGUGGGGGAUGCAGAACAGCUGAACAAGGCCACAAUUUGCCGCACAAUAAGGAGUGUGUGUCUGGCUAUCAAAGCAUUAGCAGAUGUCUUCAUCUCCUUCCCUGGCCACAGAAGACUCUGUGACAUCAAAGAGGAGUUCUAUAGGAUUGCAGAUGGUCUGCAAUGCUGACUGUGUGAUCAGCAAUGUUUGGCAAAAUGGCCUGGCUCAGUCCAUGACUCCAGAAUCUUUCGGGCCUCUGAAAUCUAUCACAAGGUGAAUUCUCUGGUGUGUUGCUGGGAGACAGGGGUAUGGCUGCCAGCCUUUUCUCCUGACACCUUUCACAGACCCCAGGAAGCACAGCAGGCCUACAACCAUGCCCAUGCCAGGACCAGGGCCAGAGUUGAAAUGACCUUUGGCCUCCUGAAGGCACGCUUUCACUGCCUUCACAAAUUAAGGGUCAGCCCUGUUAGGGCAUGUGAUAUUACUGUGGCUUGUGCUGUCCUCCACAAUGUGGCCUGCCUGAGGAAGGAGAGGGCCCCAGAGUGCCACCAGCCAUGGACUGGGACAAUCCGGCAAUCUUCCCUGAUGACGACAGUGGUCGGCUGCUGAGGGACCAAUAUGUGUUGAAUUAUUUUAGUUAGUAUGUGUGCUUUCAAUUUUGGUUAAAUAUGUCCUGCGGUGGCAGAGGAAUUUGGGUUUUUUUUGGGUUCGUUUUUUGACGAAUUUGGCCUCUUAUGAUGUUUGUGCGGUAUACUGUGUGUAAUACAAGGCUGCAGGGAGGCUACUGCAUCCAUUCAUUUGUCUGUUCAGUUGAUGUGUAUGGAUUUGUCCUGCAUUUAUUUUAGUGUGCAGACAUGCAGGGUGUGUUAUAUACAGACCUUUGAAUGUGUAUGUAUCAUUUUGUAUAAUAUGCUUGGAUUCUGUGCUUUCCAUCUUGUAGAGUCACUGUGACUUCAGUUUCGAAAGGAGCUGAUGGUUUACCUGCUUUGUUUUGUCCUUAUUCAAUAAAGGAACAUAAUGUUACACAUUGUGUUUUUAUAUUCA